GCAAAUAAUGAACUCAAUUGCACCAGCACCUAAACCAUAUGAAAUAACAAUUUAAUUUAAUUGGGUUCUAUGUGGACAUGGAAGGUUUUUGUACAAAAGAAUCAGUCUAAAUCCAGAACUAAUAAAAACCUAUUGUCUUGGGCCUCUUGGGAAAUGACAUUCCAAAGGCAACUUUACUAAAGACAAAAGUCUGUUAGUCUUGUGAUAUGGCAGAGGUACAAAUCAACUUAUUAUUAGCGCAUAAAUUCACAGACGCAUGCAACAGAAGGGAUGAUCCAUACCUAAGGUGUCAUAUAAGGGAACACAAUAAAGCCCAUGAGCAUUACAUGCCUGCAUUAAUUUGUUGGUGUUAGAAAAAUUGCAGCAAAUUCUACAAAAGAUAUUCACAACAAUUUCAUUGACAUCUAAGGCAAAAGAAGUUAUCACAAAAUCAAGAAACUCUUAGAGGGGAAGAAGAUACAAAGAAAAAUAGAAGUAGAGAAAUGGAAUAAGAGAACAUAUAUGCAGACAUUUUGCUUUCAAAAUUUACAGCUCACAGAAGGAAACAGAAAGAUAAAGGAGUAAGGAAAACAAGAAACAAGUGUAUGGAUCUAAUAAAUCCACAGAAGACGUGAGCUUCAAGAAUCUACCACUCGAGUGAUCAAUAAAAUUUUCUAAUGGCUUCUUCACAUGAGACUAGAGAAAUGGGAACUUUGACAUGGAUCCCAAGUAAAGGACCUAAUAUCCACACCCAUGUACUCGAAGGAGACAAAAGAUCUCUGAUAAGUAUUUCAGAUACAGUUGUAGCUCCUAAGCUACAGCAACAUGCUUCAUGAUUCAAAAGAGAUAAAUAGAAAAAAAAAUCAAAAAUACAAUAGGUUAGUUAUCAAAGUUUUCUUUUGUUUAGCAAGCUGAAUACGAGAAGGCAAAAGGCUCAACAUGACAAGUAAAUACGGUAUUGUAAUCUUCCCAAUCAAAGCCGAUAGAGAUGGCAAAUUUUCCAGAGAAGAAUCCAUAAUAGCUCAAGCAAGCCUCUAACUACUGGUAUAAGAGUCAGACACAAGCCAAACAUUCAAUGCAUAACACCUCAGGUUAACCAAAAUUUUUACUAAGACAACAUAAAAUAAUGAAGCAAGAUUAUCUAAUUUCAGUGGCAUGGAACAUCAAAAAGAAGCAAAAAAACUUCUGCAAAUUUCUUAAGUUAUAAGGUGAGAUUCUUCAAACUAGGCUCAUGAAGUUUAUAUCUCUACUCUCCAACAAUUUCCUCCUCUCUCCAACCCAUUUGACAUCUUGUAUGCAAGUUAUAUUAACUUUACACUUAUCUAUCAGUCUACUAGUUUCAGGGAUUUUCUUAUUAGUGUCACUAUAAUGUAAGUUCUAUUAUCCUAGACUAACUACUUGACCCAUCUCUGUCCAUUAGAUUGCAGAAACCUUUGCUUACAUUUCGACAACUUAGGCACCAAAAUCCAGGAAGCUUAUGGAUGAAAAUGAAUUAGGACAAAAUGACUUUGAGACUCGUCUUAUCCAUAUUUCUAAGCAAUAAAUAAGGGCGAUGGGAGGUGCAAACUGGACAUGACCUAAUGUUCAACCUUGUAAACGAAGUAUAAUUUCAGAAUGACAGCCAUAUAGUAGUGAGAUAAGCAGUUCUUCCACUAUAGUUAGCAAUGAGUGAAGCAACCAAGAAAAAAAUUAAAGGUUGAAAUCAAAACGCUUACCAAUAACAAAAAUUCAUCCCAAGAAUGGAUAGCCACACCAAAUUUUUCAACUUCUUCCCUUUGUUGAGAAGUGACUUUGCCAAAGCUGACAAUAGCUGAAACAGAACAAUAAAUGAUGUUUAUGCUAUCAUUUUUCUCAUUUAAAUCCAUGAACAAUAAUGAAACAGAAAUCUGACAUCGUCGGAGACUUACUUCUCAAGUAUUUUGUGGCACUGGGAAGAGUUUUGAUCAGCUGCAAGGCAAAAAGUAGAUGCAUAUUAGCAAAAUAUGAACAAUUGAAAACCUAGUCCAACGAGUCAGUACAAAUACACAGAAAAAUGUCAAAACCAUUGAAGCCAUAAAAGACAGAAAAUUAAUAGUUCAUAUAACUAUGCCCUUGUUUGAUCCCCAUUUUGGGGGAAAUAAUGCAUUUUGAAUAGUAGAUAGAUAAAGAAUAUGUGGUUAAAAAUUAAAGAAAAAUUUUGGAUUUGUGUAAUUAUUUUAUUAAAGAAUGUGUGGUUGAAAAUGAGUUUUGAAAAAAUAAGUUUUUAAAAGAAUGAGAAUCAAAGAAAGGGCUAUCAUUGAAAACAGAUAAAAGUGAAAACCAUGAGUACAAAAUAAAAAUAAAAAUGAGAACCUUAAAUAAAAAUCUAAAAGAGAAAAAUUCGUCGUGCAAUCAAAUUCCUAACAUUAGCAACCGUACCUCAGGAAUCUUCUUCUCCUCUACAAAAGCAAUUGCAACCUCCGCAUGGCAAAUAAUGAACUCAAUUGCACCAGCACCUAAACCAUAUGAAAUAACAAUUUAAUUUAAUUGGGUUCUAUGUGGACAUGGAAGGUUUUUGUACAAAAGAAUCAGUCUAAAUCCAGAACUAAUAAAAACCUAUUGUCUUGGGCCUCUUGGGAAAUGACAUUCCAAAGGCAACUUUACUAAAGACAAAAGUCUGUUAGUCUUGUGAUAUGGCAGAG
This 2639-nucleotide long non-coding RNA is filed under the name Olea europaea (common olive). Its description in RNAcentral is "long non-coding RNA (OEUR_LNC009445)". The record is from RNAcentral. Lineage: Eukaryota; Viridiplantae; Streptophyta; Magnoliopsida; Lamiales; Oleaceae.